This 627-nucleotide ribosomal RNA is filed under the name uncultured Suillus. Its description in RNAcentral is "eukaryotic LSU rRNA". The stretch from base 183 to 337 matches the Rfam family "5.8S ribosomal RNA". Lineage: Eukaryota; Fungi; Basidiomycota; Agaricomycetes; Boletales; Suillaceae. The record is from RNAcentral.
GGGGGGAGUUGUCGCUGGCCUUUUACGAGGCAUGUGCACGCUCUCCUUGGAACCUUUGCCUUAUGGGCGCGGGGCGACCCGCGUCUUCAUAUACCUCUUCGUGUAGAAAGUCUUCGAAUGUUUAUAUUAUCAUCGAGCCGCGACUUCUAGGAGACGCGGUUCUUUGAGACAAAAGUUAUUACAACUUUCAGCAAUGGAUCUCUUGGCUCUCGCAUCGAUGAAGAACGCAGCGAAUCGCGAUAUGUAAUGUGAAUUGCAGAUCUACAGUGAAUCAUCGAAUCUUUGAACGCACCUUGCGCUCCUCGGUGUUCCGAGGAGCAUGCCUGUUUGAGCGUCAGUAAAUUCUCAACCCCUCUCGAUUAGCUUCGAAAGGGCGCUUGGAUAGUGGGGGCUGCCGGAGAUCUGGACUUUUCGUCUGGGACUCGGGCUCUCCUGAAAUGAAUGGGCUUGCGGUCGGCUUUCGACUAUGCAUGACAAGGCUUUUGGCGUGAUAAUGAUCGCCGCUCGCCGAAGUGCAUGAAUGAAUGGUCCCGUGCCUCUAAUGCGUCGAUGCCUUCUGGCGUCUUCCUUAUUGACUUUUGACCUCAAAUCAGGUAGGACUACCCGCUGAACUUAAGCAUAUCAAUA